This 185-nucleotide ribosomal RNA is filed under the name Thermobrachium celere DSM 8682. RNAcentral describes it as "Large Subunit Ribosomal RNA; lsuRNA; LSU rRNA". It matches the Rfam family "Bacterial large subunit ribosomal RNA", at positions 1 to 186 of the family's 2925-position model. The record is from RNAcentral. Lineage: Bacteria; Bacillati; Bacillota; Clostridia; Eubacteriales; Clostridiaceae.
GAUCAAGCUACAAAGGGCGCAUGGUGGAUGCCUUGGCACCAGGAGCCGAUGAAGGACGUGGUAAGCUGCGAAAAGCUGCGGGUAGCCGCAAACAGGCUGUGAUCCGCAGAUGUCCGAAUGGGGGAACCCGCAUGGCUAACGCCAUGCAUCCUUAGCUGAAUCCAUAGGCUAAGGAGGGCACACCC